GCGGCUAUAGCUCAGGGGACAGAGCGCCGGCCUCCGGAGCCGGGUGCGCAGGUUCGAAUCCUGCUAGCCGCA
Molecule: transfer RNA, 72 nt
Filed under: Limnochorda pilosa
Lineage: Bacteria; Bacillati; Bacillota; Limnochordia; Limnochordales; Limnochordaceae
Rfam family: tRNA
About the family: Transfer RNA (tRNA) molecules are approximately 80 nucleotides in length. Their secondary structure includes four short double-helical elements and three loops (D, anti-codon, and T loops). Further hydrogen bonds mediate the characteristic L-shaped molecular structure. tRNAs have two regions of fundamental functional importance: the anti-codon, which is responsible for specific mRNA codon recognition, and the 3' end, to which the tRNAs corresponding amino acid is attached (by aminoacyl-tRNA synthetases). tRNAs cope with the degeneracy of the genetic code in two manners: having more than one tRNA (with a specific anti-codon) for a particular amino acid; and 'wobble' base-pairing, i.e. permitting non-standard base-pairing at the 3rd anti-codon position.
Source: Rfam by way of RNAcentral